GGCGCGGCGCGGGCGGCGCGGGCGGAGCCGGCGGCCCGGGCUUGCCUCUGGCCGCACUUCGGGGCGGCCGGGUUGGACGGACUGCGGGGAAGCCGCGUUACCCCUUGCCUUCCCCAGUCCCAGACGCGGCCCUCUGGAGGCCUCCCCGGUCGGGGCCCUGCUGCCUCAGGGUCGGAAGCACGGAUGUCGGGCCGGGCCGUGACUUCGCCAGGCUUCACGCCCAACCUAAUGCGUUAGGUGUCCCUUUCCAGAUUGUAGGGAAUCGGGUCUCUCAGUGUCAGCCCCAGUACCUUUGCACUGGCUGUCUGCUCUACCUGGAACUCUUCCCCUCUGCUUGGACCUUCUUACUCCCACUUCCUGCAGGCUCAGAUGUCCGUCCCCUCAUUAGAUGUCAACUGAUCACUCUGUGGAAUAGGAACCACCCACUACCCGGCUCUUUCGCAGGCAGGCACCAGUCCUCAUCUGCUCUGUCGUUGUCAGAGCACCUACAUCCAGCACUACCUUACACUGUUGGCGUGUUUACUUCUGGACUGUCGGCUCCCUCCACUAGAAUGUUAGAUUCAGUCGAGCGGGGCCUUUGUUUUGUUCACUUCUGGAUCCCUGGUACAUAAUAAAAUACUUGAUGAGUGAGUGAGGCUUUGGAUAUUGUAAAGUGAGGAAUUCUUUUUUUUUUUUUUUUAAUUGUCUUUUUGCCUUUUUUAGGGCCGCUCCUGCGGCAUAUGGACGUCCCCAGGCUAGGGGUCUCAUCAGAGCUGUAGCCGCCGGCCUACACCACAGCCACAGCAACUCGGGAUCCGAGCCACAUCUUCGACCUACACUACAGCUCAUGGCAAUGCCAGAUCCUUAACCCACUGAGCGAGGCCAGGGAUUGAACCCUCAACCUCAUGGUUCCUAGUCAGAUUUGUGAACCGCUGAACCACGAUGGGAACUCCAGGAAUUCUUAUUAAAAGUACAAGAAGGGAAUGGGAUCUGGAGAAAGGAUCAAAGGGACAAAAGGGGUUAUAUUAAGGAUAUCUUUGAAGAAGUGGAUGGUGCUUAGUGUGGUAGGUUAAAAAUGGGCACCAAAGAGUUCCCGUUGUAGCUCAGCAGUAAUGAACCUGACUAGUAUCCAUGAGGACACAGGUUCAAUCCCUGGCUUCUCUCAGUGGGUUAAGGAUCCGGUGUUGCCAGUGAGCUAUGGCGUAGGCCGCAGACAAGGCUCGGAUCCUGCAUUGCUGUGGUUGUGCAUCUGCAGCUCCAAUUCGACCCCUAGCCUGGGAACUUCCAUAUGCAAUGGGUGUGGUCCUAAAAAGACAAAAAAAUAAAUAAGUAAAUAAAAUAGGCA
This 1324-nucleotide long non-coding RNA is filed under the name Sus scrofa (pig). RNAcentral's name for it is "lncRNA (ENSSSCG00025063113.1)". The record is from RNAcentral. Lineage: Eukaryota; Metazoa; Chordata; Mammalia; Artiodactyla; Suidae.